RNAcentral lists this long non-coding RNA (3689 nucleotides) under Sus scrofa (pig). RNAcentral's name for it is "lncRNA (ENSSSCG00055020763.1)". The record is from RNAcentral. Lineage: Eukaryota; Metazoa; Chordata; Mammalia; Artiodactyla; Suidae.
CCAAGUUGCCCCUGUGUUGGGCCAGUUUCUUCCCAUUCCCACCUCUGCCUCCUUCACUUACUUAUAGGUGUGUCUGCUAAGGGCAUUUCCCAGGAAAUUUCCCUGCAUCCUAGUCACCCUCUCUCUUUUUCAAGGGAAUGAAUUUAAGACAAGUUGGUAUUUUCUUUCAGAUGGAUAAUGAAUUGUGUAAAGUAAUCUUUUAUUAAGUCAUCUCUUAUGAGGCAUAAAUCUUAAGUGCCUUAUAAUGCCACUUACUGUUUGUCAUUGCCGUGUGUAUUAUGUUAUAUUUACUGUGUUUAUUUAUAUGUUCUCUUUGCUUUUUUAAAGCAUCUCUUCUGGCAUUUAGGAAUAUUUGUAUUUUUAUUCUAGUAGUCCUAGUGUGUUAAUAAUUUUUAUAUUGUCCUUAAUCUUUUUUCACUUUUUAUUAUCAGUUUUAAUUGUCAUUUGACUCCCAUCGUUAACUAUAUAACAGUUAGUGAUCUUAUUUUACUUUCCUCCUUUUCCUUCCUCUCUCCUUCCAGUUUUUAGUUGCCUUCUAACUACUUUGUCAGAACACGUAAUGUUUACACAUUGUUCUUCACACCAUAACCUCAAUCUUGUUUUAGUGUUACCUUUACAAUUGAAUGUGUAAAGUGGUCACUGCAGGUCUUUUUGCAAUACUUCCCCAGGCAUAUUUUGGUUGGUGAAGCUAAUUCUCUAACAGAUUCCUCAGAGGGGGUAUAUAUUCAUAGUAUUACCAUUCAGACUCCCCCCCCCCCCAGUUUUAUUGAUGUAACUAAUGUAACAUUGUAUGAGUUUAAGGUGGAUAAUAUACAUGUUUUUAAAAUUUUUAUUGAAGUGUAGAUGAUUGACAAUGUUGUGUUAAUUUCUACUGUAUAGCAAAGUGAUUCAGUGAUACAAACAUACAUAUUUUUUUCGUAUUCUUUUUUUUUUUUUCUUUUAGGGCCACACAUACAGCAUAUGGAAGUUCCCAGGCUAGGGGUCAAAUUGGAGCUGUAGCCACUGGCCUAUGCCACAGCCACAGCAACGCGGGAUCCGAGCCGCGUCUGCGACCUACACCACAGCUCACGGCAACGCCAGAUCGUCAACCUACUGAGCAAGGGCAGGGAUCAAACCCCCAACCUCAUGGUUCCUAGUUGGAUUCGUUAACCACUGCGCCUCGACGGGAACUCCCGUAUUCUUUUCCAUUAUGCUUUAUUACAGGAUAUUAAAUAUAGUUCCCUGUGCUACACAGUGGGACCUUGUUAUUCAUCCAUUCUAUAUGUAAUAGUUUGCAUCUGCUAAUCCCAAACUCCCUAUCCAUUCCUCCCCCACCUCCUGUCCCUUUUGGCAACCACAAGUCUGUUCUUGGUCUGUGAGUCUACUGUUUUGUAGAUAGAUUGAUUUGUGUCACAUUUUAGAUUCCACUGUAAGUGAUCUCAUAUGGUAUUUGCCUUUCUCUUUCUGACUUACUUCACUUAGUAUGAGUAUCUAUGGUUGCAUCCAUGUUGCUGCAAAUGGUGUUAUUUUGUUCUUUUUUAUGGCUUAGGAUUCCAUUGUAUGUGUGUACCACAUCUUACAUUCAUCUGUUGAUGGACAUUUAGGUUGUUUCUAUGUCUUGGCUACAAUAUGCAUGUUUUUACUGUAAAAUGAUGACCACAGGAAGUUUAAAUUAUUAAUUCACAUAGUUAAACAUUUUUUUUUGUUGUUAUUUUUUUGUCUUUUCUAGGGCCACACCUGUGGCAUAUGGAGGUUCCCAGGAUAGGGGUCUAAUUGGAGCUGUAGCUGCCAGCCUGCACCAGAGCCACAGCAAUGCGGGAUCUGACCAACGUCUGUGACCUCCACCACAGCUCACGGCAAUGCUGGAUCCUUAAUCUACUGAGCGAGGCCAUGGAUCGAACCUGCAACCUCAUGGUUCCUAGUCGGAUUUGUUUCCACUGCGCCACGAUGGGAACUCUGAGAUAGUAUUGUUUAUUGUAGCCAUAAUGCAGUGCACUACAGCCCCAAAACUUAUUUAUCUUAUUUAAAAGUUAUUUAUUCCAUGUGUAGGUGAGAUCAUACAGUAUUUGUCUUUUUCUGUUUGAUUUAUUUUACUUAGGUUAUUACAUUCAAGGUGUAUCCAUGUUAUUGCAAAUGACAGGAUAUCUUUCUUUUUAUGGCUGAAUAAUAUUCUCUUGUACAUAUAGCAUAUUUUCUUUAUCCAUUCAUCCAUCAGUGGACCCUUAGGUUGUUUUCAUGUAUUGGUUAUUGUAAAUAAUGCUUUGAUGAACAUGGGGAGGCAGCUAUCUCUUUGAGAUAGUGGUUUUAUUUCCUUCAGACAUGUACCUAGAAGUGGAAUUGCUGAAUCACAUGGUAGUUCUAUUUUUAAUUUUUUGAGGAGUCUUCAUACUGUUUCCAGUAGGGGCUGCACCAGUUUACAUUCCCACCAAAAGUACAUGAGGGUCCCUUUUACUCCACAUCCUUGCCAACACUUUUUUUUUUUUUUUUUAAUGAUACCAUUCUAACAGGUAUGAAGUGGUAUCUCCUUGUGGUUUUGAUUUGCAUCUCCCUGAUGCCUAGUGAUGUUAAUUAAGCACCUUUUCAUGUACCUCCUGAUUUUCCUGAACCUCUUGAUCAAAAGUAUGUCUUCUUUGGAAGAAAUGUUUAUUCAGAUACUCUGCCCAUUUUUAAAACUGGUUAUUUGGUUUUUUGCUAUUGAAUUGUAUGAGUUCUUUAUAUGUUUGUUGGAUAUUAGUCAUCAGAUAUAUGAUUUACAAAUAUUUUCUCCCAUUUGGUAGGUUGCUUUUUUGUUUUAUUGAUGAUUUCCUUUGCUGUACAGAAGCUUUUUAGUUUGGUGUAGUCCCAUUUGUUUAUUUUUGCUUUUGUUGCCUUUGCUUUUAGUGUCAAAUCCAAAAAAUCAUUGCCAAGACCAAUAUCAAGGAGCUUACCCUCAACAUUGUUUUUUGAUGUUUUUGAAACCUGCAGAACAGCUUGGCAGGAUAUAAUAUCCUUGGUUUACAUUUUCUUUCCUUAAGUUGCUUAAAAAUGCUGCUCUGCUGUUUCCUUGAUUUAUAUGUUAUUUUUGAAGUAAUUUAUUGCUGGUCUAGCUUCCUUACCUUUGUAAAUUAUUUCAUCUUUUUUUGCCUGAAUGUCCUGAAGUGUUUUUUUUUUUUUUUUUUUCUUCCCUUUAAAUAAUUUUUCAAGGCUAUGUCUUAAACAGUUGCUCGUUCUGGGUCAGGUUUCCCAGGUUACCUGGUAGGCCUUUUGAACAUGUAGAUUCAGGACAUUUAUUUCUGGAAAGUUUUUGUAUUUCAUAGUUUAGUGCUGACCUGUUGUUUUGACUCUCUUCCUUAGGGACUUCAGUCAUAUUGCUGAUGUUCUCCCCUCUUUGCUUAUCAUCUGUAUCAGCCAAUUUCUCUCUGACCCGUUUGCUUCUUUCUUUUUCCUUUUUUUUUUUUGGGCUGGUGGGGGGGGGGCUCACCCUCAGCAGGUGAAAGUUCCUGGGCCAGGGAUCGAUCCCACACCACAGCAGCAACCCAAGUCACUGAAGUGACAAUGCUGUAUUCUUAACCCACUGCACCACAAUGGGAACUCUGCUUCUUUCUUUAUUUCACUUUCAUUUUCUUUAUUGUUUUCUGCUUUUCUUAAACAUCCUUUGUUAAGUCUUUAUUAAUAUCUAUUCCCCCAUAUGUGCCUUAUAAUUAAUUUUCAUUUUUAUAUGAUUUUAUCUU